AUCCAGCUGACGAGUCCCAAAUAGGACGAAGCGCGCAUCCUGGAU
Molecule: non-coding RNA, 45 nt
Filed under: Schistosoma mansoni
Lineage: Eukaryota; Metazoa; Platyhelminthes; Trematoda; Strigeidida; Schistosomatidae
Source: RNAcentral